AUGGUUUCUUGUAUAAGAAUAAGAAAUUUAGUCUGCUCACUGAAAAUAUUAAAGAGCUGCAGUAUUAUGACUGUACAAAGGUAGCACAAUCAUUAGUCUUUUAAUUGUGGACUGGUAUGAAAGGCUGGACGAACAAGCACUUUUUGUGGGGCAUAGAUUUGAAGUUUUCUUUUGGGUGAAAAGACCCAAAUUAUUAUAAGGGACAAGAAGACCCUUUUAAAGUUUAUUUGAUUGGGCUAUUUUGUUUAAUAUAAAUGAACAGACCUUAAAAUUUUGCUGGGGCGGCAGAUAUAAUUUAUCUAUAUUUAUAUUAAAUUUUUCAAAAAGCUGGGAGAUUUGAGCCUUUAUGAAGGAGAGCUGAAAUGAGUUACUGAAGGGAUAACAGCGUAAUAUUUUUGAGAGUUCUGAUCGACAUUAAUGUUUGCGA
Molecule: ribosomal RNA, 427 nt
Filed under: Metaiulus pratensis
Lineage: Eukaryota; Metazoa; Arthropoda; Diplopoda; Julida; Julidae
Description: partial small subunit ribosomal RNA
Rfam family: Archaeal large subunit ribosomal RNA
Source: RNAcentral